GCGAUUCUCCUGCCUCAGCCUCCCAAGUAGCUGGGAUUACAGGUUUAUGGAGAAGUAAAUUAUCCAAAGCACAUGGAAGAAUCCUCAAGCCUGCAAAUACUAUGACAUAAGUAUCUAUGCAAAUGUCUCUCAUAUUUGGAAUUGAGCUUCUACGAAGGCCAGUGCCAUUUUUCUCCUGCUGUUUACUGCCCAUCUCCAUGGAAAACAAGACACAUUCCCAGAAGUGAAAGUGCAGAUUCAAAGAACCUGUAAGUAUUUAAUGAGUCUGGUCAAUCAGCGUUGCUCAGGG
Molecule: long non-coding RNA, 289 nt
Filed under: Homo sapiens (human)
Lineage: Eukaryota; Metazoa; Chordata; Mammalia; Primates; Hominidae
Description: HSALNT0310801
Source: RNAcentral